CUGGUUGAUCCUGCCAGUAGUCAUAUGCUUGUCUCAAAGAUUAAGCCAUGCAUGUCCAAGUACAAGCCUCACUAAGGUGAAACCGCGAAUGGCUCAUUAAAUCACACCUAAUCUACUGGAUAGUUAACAGGUGCUUGGAUACCUGCGGUAAUUCUGGAGCUAAUACAUGCGAAAAGCCUCGAACUUACGUGAGAGGUGCUUUUAUUAGAUCAAAACCAAUCGGCUUCGGCUGUACUCUUGGUGACUCUGAAUAACUUUGGGCUGAUCGUAUAGCCUUGCGCUGACGACAUAUCCUUCGAAGGUGUGCCCUAUCAACUGUCGACUGUGGCAUAGACGCCCACAGUGGUUUUGACGGGUAACGGGGAAUCAGGGUUCGAUUCCGGAGAGGGAGCCUUAAAAACGGCUACCACAUCUAAGGAAGGCAGCAGGCACGCAAAUUACCCAAUGAUCGAAGAUCGAGGUAGUGACGAAAAAUAACGAUCCAGGACUCAUCCGAGGCCCUGGAAUCGGAAUGAGUACACUUUAAAACCGUCCCCGAGGAUCUAUUGGAGGGCAAGUCUGG
RNAcentral lists this ribosomal RNA (562 nucleotides) under uncultured eukaryote. RNAcentral's name for it is "SSU rRNA". It matches the Rfam family "Eukaryotic small subunit ribosomal RNA", at positions 4 to 564 of the family's 1831-position model. The record is from RNAcentral.